RNAcentral lists this long non-coding RNA (829 nucleotides) under Homo sapiens (human). Its description in RNAcentral is "HSALNT0326916". The record is from RNAcentral. Lineage: Eukaryota; Metazoa; Chordata; Mammalia; Primates; Hominidae.
CCACGGAAUCUGGGCUGCCUCUAGAAGCUGGAAAACGGAAGCAACAGAUGCUCCCCGGCAGCCUUCUGAAAGAACACAGCCCUGCUGACACCUUAACUUUAGUCCAAAAGCACAAGCAAGAAUGUGUGAGAAGAUCACAGAGACCUAAAGAAGGGGAAGGGAAGAACCCACAUGUGAGAGAGAAGAGAUUGUCUGACUUGUCAGUGUUCCUAAUUGCACUGCCCCUGGAAAACGCACGGAGAAGAAAUACAGCAAAAUACAUGAGAUGGUGAAACACUCUGGCAACUGCAAGCGGACAGAUGGGAUCUGGGAGGUAAUGCAGGGUCACAGGGCAGUUACACCAGGAUAUUUGGUUCUUUCCUACUCUCCUUUCCCCACCCUCAAUGCUAUAUACAUAACUGCUAGUGAAUCAAUUUAUGUACAUAUCCCAGAUAUCUAGGACUGGUUGAGGCGGGUUAUCCAAGAGAGUCACAGUGUAUUACCAUUUUUUAUUAAGUACAACCAGACCAACAGAGAACUGAUUAACUCAACCACUGAACUUUAUGUUUUCCCCCAUCAUCUAUAGAAUUGAUUUUACUGGAUUUUGACAUGUCAGUUUAUCACUUACUUUAUCCUUCAGUGAAGGACACACUAAGGAAUGGAGUUAUUAAGCUUGUUCUACUGGCUGUGAGGAUGUUGUUGAGGGACAUUGUUCAUGACGUUAUGUUGUGUCAUUUUUAUGAGGACUCAAUGGAAGGACUUCUGUCUGAUUUCAGUACUGGAAGUAGUCAUACUUCUCCUGAGCAACCAUUUUCUUUCUCCGUUAUAAAAAUCUCAUUGUCUCUGUGAA